GGUUCAUUCACAUUUCUGCCCUAUCAACUUUCGACGGCUGGGUCUUGGCCAGCCAUGGUGACAACGGGUAACGGAGGGUUAGGGCUCGANCCCGGAGAAGGAGCCUGAGAAACGGCUACUACAUCCAAGGAAGGCAGCAGGCGCGCAAAUUACCCAAUCCCGACCGGGGAGGUAGUGACAAUAAAUACUGAUACAGGGAUCUUAUGGGUCUUGUAAUUGGAAUGAGUACAAUUUAAACCUCUUAACGAGGAACAAUUGGAGGGCAAGUCUGGUGCCAGAAGCCGCGGUAACUCCAGCUCCAAUAGCGUAUAUUAAAGUUGUUGCAGUUAAAAAGCUCAUAGUUG
This 344-nucleotide ribosomal RNA is filed under the name uncultured fungus. RNAcentral describes it as "SSU rRNA". It matches the Rfam family "Eukaryotic small subunit ribosomal RNA", at positions 292 to 636 of the family's 1831-position model. Lineage: Eukaryota; Fungi. The record is from RNAcentral.